AAGACCUUGCGCUUUUGGAGCGGCCGAUGUCUGAUUAGCUUGUUGGUAAGGUAAAAGCUUACCAAGGCUUCGAUCAGUAGCUGGUCUGAGAGGACGGCCAGCCACACUGGGACUGAGACACGGCCCAGACUCCUACGGGAGGCAGCAGUGGGGAAUUUUGGACAAUGGGGGCAACCCUGAUCCAGCCAUGCCGCGUGAGUGAAGAAGGCCUUCGGGUUGUAAAGCUCUUUCAGCCGGAACGAAACGGUUACGGUUAAUACCCGUGACUACUGACGGUACCGGAAGAAGAAGCACCGGCUAACUACGUGCCAGCAGCCGCGGUAAUACGUAGGGUGCAAGCGUUAAUCGGAAUUACUGGGCGUAAAGCGUGCGCAGGUGGUUUUGUAAGUCAGAUGUGAAMUCCCCGGGCUUAACCUGGGAACU
Molecule: ribosomal RNA, 423 nt
Filed under: uncultured bacterium
Lineage: Bacteria
Description: bacterial SSU rRNA
Rfam family: Bacterial small subunit ribosomal RNA
Source: RNAcentral